This is a non-coding RNA of Grammomys surdaster, 372 nucleotides long. NCBI's taxonomy places the organism in Eukaryota, Metazoa, Chordata, Mammalia, Rodentia, Muridae. The record is from the annotation of a RefSeq genome assembly.
AGCAUGGCUGUCCUGGUGCUGCUCCUCUGCCUGCUCACAUUUCCAAGCUGUGUCCUGUCCCAGAUGCAGAUGAAGGAGUCAGGACCUGACCUGGUGCAGCCCUCACAGAAAUUGUCCCUCACCUGCACAGUCUCUGGGUUCUCAUUAACUGACUGUAGUGUACAGUGGGUUCGCCAGCCCCCAGGAAAGGCUUUGGAGUGGAUGGGUGCUAUAUGGAGUGAUGGAAGUACAGAUUAUAGUUCAGCUCUCAAAACCAGAUUAAGCAUCACCAGGGACACCCCAAAGAGCCAGGUUUUCUUAAAAAUGAACAAUAUGCAAACUGAAGACACAGCCACCUACGACUAUGGCAAAAACACAGUGAAGGAAGUCUAG